UGCAAGUCGAACGGGAAAUACUUUAUUGAAACUUCGGUGGAUUUAAUUUAUUUCUAGUGGCGGACGGGUGAGUAACGCGUGGGUAACCUGCCUUAUACUGGGGGAUAACAGCCAGAAAUGACUGCUAAUACCGCAUAAGCGCACAGAACCGCAUGGUUCGGUGUGAAAAACUCCGGUGGUAUAAGAUGGACCCGCGUUGGAUUAGCUAGUUGGCAGGGCAGCGGCCUACCAAGGCGACGAUCCAUAGCCGGCCUGAGAGGGUGAACGGCCACAUUGGGACUGAGACACGGCCCAGACUCCUACGGGAGGCAGCAGUGGGGAAUAUUGCACAAUGGGGGAAACCCUGAUGCAGCGACGCCGCGUGAAGGAAGAAGUAUCUCGGUAUGUAAACUUCUAUCAGCAGGGAAGAUAAUGACGGUACCUGACUAAGAAGCCCCGGCUAACUACGUGCCAGCAGCCGCGGUAAUACGUAGGGGGCAAGCGUUAUCCGGAUUUACUGGGUGUAAAGGGAGCGUAGACGGCGCAGCAAGUCUGAUGUGAAAGGCAGGGGCUUAACCCCUGGACUGCAUUGGAAACUGCUGUGCUUGAGUGCCGGAGGGGUAAGCGGAAUUCCUAGUGUAGCGGUGAAAUGCGUAGAUAUUAGGAGGAACACCAGUGGCGAAGGCGGCUUACUGGACGGUAA
Molecule: ribosomal RNA, 682 nt
Filed under: uncultured bacterium
Lineage: Bacteria
Description: bacterial SSU rRNA
Rfam family: Bacterial small subunit ribosomal RNA
Source: RNAcentral